Molecule: small RNA, 67 nt
Organism: Bacillus sp. OxB-1
Lineage: Bacteria; Bacillati; Bacillota; Bacilli; Caryophanales; Bacillaceae
Rfam family: Bacillaceae-1 RNA
Source: Rfam
AAUAGGGGAACUCAGACUAAAACCGCCGCGUCCAGCGGCGACGUCUGAGUGACCAACAUCCUGUUGG